CAAGGUGAUAGGAUAGGUAGGUGAUGGGUUAUAAAUGCAUGUGCCACUUUCCACCAUUUAACAGGAAAAAGAAAAGGAGGAAAAAGUUACCCAGUGAUUUAUGGUGCGUAAACAAAGCUUAUUCUUUGCAGAUGAUUCCUUCCUUGUUGGCUUUUUAUAAUUUAGCUUUAUUUCAACUUGACGAUGCUCGUGAACCAUGAGAUAGCUCAGACAUCACCACUUUCGGAAGUAUUUCGCAGACAAAAUGAGCGCAUGACACUCAUUUGGAAUGAUCGAAAACAACUUAAUUUUCUAGCCAUCUAGCCAGCUACCGCACACUGUGGCACUCACUGACUGGUACUACUGAUGAACUCUUUUUGUCAGCUUUUAAAGUUAGCUAAGCUAGCUUUAGUGAUGUUCACAUUCAAACUCUUUUCAUUUCCAUUAUAAUAUAUUUUUUCGUCUUUUCAUCUUUUUCGUCCUUUUAUGCUGUUCAUCUUCAUCUUCUUCUUCCUUUCCUUUUGACAUAACUAGAAAAAAGACCAAUCUAUGUUGCAGGGACACACUUUCAUACUGAAAUAAAUUUGUGACUGGUUUAAAGGCACUUACUACAAGGACACCAUGCUGUAUCAAGACUGGCUGUCUCUUUGUGUCACC
This 636-nucleotide long non-coding RNA is filed under the name Populus trichocarpa (black cottonwood). Its description in RNAcentral is "long non-coding RNA (PTRI_LNC000333)". The record is from RNAcentral. Lineage: Eukaryota; Viridiplantae; Streptophyta; Magnoliopsida; Malpighiales; Salicaceae.